GACCUGACUGCUAUCGGAUUGAUACUAAGCCAUGCGAGUCAUUGUAGCAAUACAAGGCAUACGGCUCAGUAACGCGUAGUCAACCUAACCUAUGGACGGGAAUAACCUCGGGAAACUGAGAAUAAUGCCCGAUAGAACACUAUACCUGGAAUGGUUUGUGUUCCAAAUGAUUUAUCGCCAUAGGAUGGGACUGCGGCCUAUCAGUUUGUUGGUGAGGUAAUGGCCCACCAAGACUAUUACAGGUACGGGCUCUGAGAGGAGUAGCCCGGAGAUGGGUACUGAGACACGGACCCAGGCCCUAUGGGGCGCAGCAGGCGAGAAAACUUUGCAAUGUGCGAAAGCACGACAAGGUUAAUCCGAGUGAUUUGUGCUAAACGAAUCUUUUGUUAGUCCUAGAAACACUAACGAAUAAGGGGUGGGUAAGGACGGUGCCAGCCGCCGCGGUAAUACCGGCGCCUCAAGUGGUAGUCGCUUUUAUUGGGCCUAAAACGUCCGUAGCCGGUCUGAUACAUUCGUGGGUAAAUCAACCAGCUUAACUGGUUGAAUUCUGCGAGGACGGUCAGACUUGGGACCGGGAGAGGUGUGGGGUACGCUCAGGGUAGGGGUAAAAUCCUGUCAUCCUGAGCGGACCACCUGUUGCGAAGGCGCCACACUAGAACGGAUCCGACGGUCAGGGACGAAGCCUAGGGGCACGAACCGGAUUAGAUACCCGGGUAGUCCUAGGUGUAAACGCUGUGGACUUGAUGUUGGGGGUGCUCCGAGCACUCUCAGUGUCGAAGCGAAGGUGAUAAGUCCACUGCCUGGGAAGUACGGUCGCAAGGCUGAAACUUAAAGGAAUUGGCGGGGGAGCACCGCAACCUGAGGAUUGUGCGGUUUAAUUGGAUUCAACGCCGGAAAACUCACCAUAGCCGACGGACAAAUGAAGGUCAGUGUAAUGAACUUACCGGAUUGUUCGAGAGGUAGUGCAUGGCCGCCGUCAGUUCGUACCGUAAGGCGUUCUGUUAAGUCAGAUAACGAACGAGACCCUCAUCUCUAUUUGCCACCAGAUCUCCGGAUCUGACGGGACUAUAGAGAGACCGCUGGCGCUAAGUCAGAGGAAGGGGAGGGCAACGGUAGGUCAGUAUGCUCCGAAUGCUAUGGGCUACACGCGCAAUACAAAGGACGGGACAAUGGGCUGCUGCUCCGAAAGGAAUGAUAGCUAUCCCGAAACCUGUUCGUAGUUCGGAUUGAGGGCUGUAACUCGCCCUCAUGAAGCUGGAUUAGGUAGUAAUCGCGUCUCAAUAAGGCGCGGUGAAUAUGCCCCUGCUCC
This 1309-nucleotide ribosomal RNA is filed under the name uncultured marine archaeon. Its description in RNAcentral is "partial 16S ribosomal RNA". It matches the Rfam family "Archaeal small subunit ribosomal RNA", at positions 20 to 1336 of the family's 1478-position model. The record is from RNAcentral.